This 74-nucleotide transfer RNA is filed under the name Bacteroidales bacterium. Its description in RNAcentral is "tRNA-Asp". It matches the Rfam family "tRNA". Rfam says of the family: Transfer RNA (tRNA) molecules are approximately 80 nucleotides in length. Lineage: Bacteria; Pseudomonadati; Bacteroidota; Bacteroidia; Bacteroidales. The record is from RNAcentral.
GGAUCGGUAGUUCAGUUGGUUAGAAUAUCGGCCUGUCACGCCGGAGGUCGCGGGUUCGAGUCCCGUCCGGUCCG